AUGACCAGGCUAGGUUGGGCCGCCACUGAAGGUAGCCACAUGCUGAGGCUAAGACGCCAGCCCAGACCACCCACGACCCACCAACGCACGCGCAGCAGCCGGCCCUCCUACCAGGGCACAACAUCUCCGAAGGACCUCCUCGUCGCCUUCACCAGGGCACAACAUCUCCGAAGGACCUCCUCGUCGCCGACGACACUGUGCGGGCUUUGCCCGGCGGUGUACCAUGGCGGCGCGGAGAGGAGAAGAGCGCCCUUCCUCCCCGGUGCGCCCACAACUGGCUGGGCCUCGGCCUCUCAAAAAGGACUCGAACCUAGGAACUACAGGCUUAUUGCUCAAAAAAAAGGAACUACAGGCUUGGGCCUUGGGAUCGGAAGUGGUUUUGAUGGCAGGCCCAUGGCAUCGAGCGCGACGGCGAGGGGAUGUGGAGGCUGUGGCCCUCUGACAGAGGAGGCAACGAAAGCCGGCUUGGCUGAGUUAGAGUGCGGCCUCGCGUCCCGCUCCGAACACAUCAACGCAAGCGCCGUGCUCCGCCGCCGCGAUCUCUAUGACGCCGUGGGCAUCAAUGAGAGCCUGAGGGCGCUAUGUGCCAGGAUGGACUCCACGGCAUUCUUCUGGUUCGUUGCAGCGCGACACAAGAGAUCGACGCAGCCUGCGCUUAGGUGUUGCUUGGAUCCGGGCAAGUCCGUCAUGAACACGAUCGCCGACGUGUUCCCGAUGGACCGACUGGAGUUGAAAAACCUGCAACCCUUGCCUGGGGCCUGGGCAUGCAUGCUCAUCCAGGAGGAAACCGUGCAGACGCUGCCCAGCCCGCCCAGACCCGGAGAUCAUGCUGGCACGACCCUUGCGGCGGGCUACGCUAACCAUGCGCAAGGACCUAGGCCGUCUCCCUCGCGUGACCCACUCGCCAAACUCGACGGCUCCCGCUCCGGCUCGCAAAGGUCGCUGCUCCUGCUGGCCGGCAAUUGUCCGCUCGCCAACCUCGCAAUCAAGGCCGCAGCUUCCCGAAACAAAGGUCCCCACUCACGUCUCCUUUGUGCUGCAGACAGGACUGGAUAA
RNAcentral lists this ribosomal RNA (1056 nucleotides) under Triticum aestivum (bread wheat). Its description in RNAcentral is "partial small subunit ribosomal RNA". The record is from RNAcentral. Lineage: Eukaryota; Viridiplantae; Streptophyta; Magnoliopsida; Poales; Poaceae.